This 468-nucleotide ribosomal RNA is filed under the name uncultured bacterium. RNAcentral describes it as "partial 16S ribosomal RNA". It matches the Rfam family "Bacterial small subunit ribosomal RNA", at positions 28 to 507 of the family's 1533-position model. The record is from RNAcentral.
GACGAACGCUGGCGGCGUGCUUAACACAUGCAAGUCGAACGGAAAGGCCCUGCUUUUGUGGGGUGCUCGAGUGGCGAACGGGUGAGUAACACGUGAGUAACCUGCCCUUGACUUUGGGAUAACUUCAGGAAACUGGGGCUAAUACCGGAUAGGAGCUCCUGCUGCAUGGUGGGGGUUGGAAAGUUUCGGCGGUUGGGGAGGGACUCGCGGCUUAUCAGCUUGUUGGUGGGGUAGUGGCUUACCAAGGCUUUGACGGGUAGCCGGCCUGAGAGGGUGACCGGGCACAUGGGGACUGAGAUAGGGCCCAGACUCCAACGGGAGGCAGCAGUGGGGAAUAUUGCACAAUGGGCGGAAGCCUGAUGCAGCAACGCCGCGUGCGGGAUGACGGCCUUCGGGUUGUAAACCGCUUUCGCCUGUGACGAAGCGUGAGUGACGGUAAUGGGUAAAGAAGCACCGGCUAACUACGUG